Molecule: ribosomal RNA, 253 nt
Filed under: uncultured bacterium
Lineage: Bacteria
Description: partial 16S ribosomal RNA
Rfam family: Bacterial small subunit ribosomal RNA
Source: RNAcentral
UACGAAGGGGGCUAGCGUUGUUCGGAAUUACUGGGCGUAAAGCGCACGUAGGCGGACAUUUAAGUCAGGGGUGAAAUCCCGGGGCUCGACCCCGGAACGGCCUUUGAUACUGGGUGUCUUGAGUUCGGAAGAGGUGAGUGGAAUUGCGAGUGUAGAGGUGAAAUUCGUAGAUAUUCGCAGGAACACCAGUGGCGAAGGCGGCUCACUGGUCCGAUACUGACGCUGAGGUGCGAAAGCGUGGGGAGCAAACAGG